This 418-nucleotide ribosomal RNA is filed under the name Flavobacteriales bacterium. RNAcentral describes it as "bacterial SSU rRNA". It matches the Rfam family "Bacterial small subunit ribosomal RNA", at positions 1 to 415 of the family's 1533-position model. The record is from RNAcentral. Lineage: Bacteria; Pseudomonadati; Bacteroidota; Flavobacteriia; Flavobacteriales.
UACAACGGAGAGUUUGAUCCUGGCUCAGGAUGAACGCUAGCGGUAGGCCUAACACAUGCAAGUCGAACGGUAACAUAAGAGCUUGCUCUUGAUGACGAGUGGCGGACGGGUGAGUAACACGUAUACAAUCUACCUUUAACUGAGGAAUAGCCCAGAGAAAUUUGGAUUAAUACCUCAUAGUAUUAUUUUAAGGCAUCUUAUUAUAAUUAAAACUCCGGUGGUUAAAGAUGAGUAUGCGUUCUAUUAGUUUGUUGGUGAGGUAACGGCUCACCAAGACUGCGAUAGAUAGGGGGCCUGAGAGGGUGAUCCCCCACACUGGUACUGAGACACGGACCAGACUCCUACGGGAGGCAGCAGUGAGGAAUAUUGCGCAAUGGAGGAAACUCUGACGCAGCCAUACCGCGUGUAGGAAGAAUGU